RNAcentral lists this ribosomal RNA (430 nucleotides) under uncultured bacterium. RNAcentral's name for it is "bacterial SSU rRNA". It matches the Rfam family "Bacterial small subunit ribosomal RNA", at positions 355 to 775 of the family's 1533-position model. The record is from RNAcentral.
UGCGGAAUUUUAGAUAAUGGAGGGAACUCUGAUCUAGCGACGCCGCGUGCAGGAAGAAGGUCUUCGGAUUGUAAACUGCUGUGGUAAGGGAAAAAUGCUAUGUAGAGUGGAAAGCUACAUAGAGGGAUGGUACCUUACUAGAAAGCCCCGGCUAACUACGUGCCAGCAGCCGCGGUAAUACGUAGGGGGCGAGCGUUACCCGGAAUCACUGGGCGUAAAGGGAGCGUAGGUGGCCUAACGUGUCAACUGUGAAAACCCGGAGCUCAACUCCGGACUUGCAGUUGAAACUGGUAGGCUUGAGGACGGUAGAGGAAGACGGAACUGCCAGUGUAGGGGUAAAAUCCUUAGAUAUUGGCAGGAACGCCGGUGACGAAGGGGGUUUUCUGGGCCGGUUCUGACACUGAGGCUCGAAAGCCAGGGGAGCGAACGG